GAAAUGCGAUAAGUAAUGUGAAUUGCAGAAUUCAGUGAAUCAUCGAAUCUUUGAACGCACCUUGCGCUCCUUGGUAUUCCUUGGAGCAUGCCUGUUUGAGUAUCAUGAAAUCUUCAAAGUAAUUCUUUUGUUAACUCAAUUGGUUUCUACUUUGGUAUUGGAGGUCUUUGCAGCUUCACACCUGCUCCUCUUUGUUCAUUAGCUGGAUCUCAGUGUUAUGCUUGGUUCCACUCGGCGUGAUAAGUUAUCUAUCGCUGAGGACACUGUAAAAGGUGGCCAAGGUAAAUGCAGAUGAACCGCUUCUAAUAGUCCAUUGACUUGGUCAAUACUUUUAUGAUCUGAUCUCAAAUCAGGUAGGACUACCCGCUGAACUUAAGC
This 378-nucleotide unclassified non-coding RNA is filed under the name plant metagenome. RNAcentral describes it as "partial contains 5.8S ribosomal RNA, internal transcribed spacer 2, and large subunit ribosomal RNA". The stretch from base 1 to 105 matches the Rfam family "5.8S ribosomal RNA", at positions 50 to 154 of the family's 154-position model. The record is from RNAcentral.